UCUUUCUUUCUUUCUUUCUUUCUUUCUUUCUUUCUAUCUAUCUAUCUAUCUAUUUAUUUUGCAGGGCGGAGGGGGUGGUACUUAGGUUUAUUUAUUUAGUUAGUUUUUUUGAUGGAGGUACUGGGGAUUGAACCCAGGACCUCAUGCUUGCUAAGCAAGCACUCUACCACUGAGAGAUACCCUCCCCCACCCUAUCCUAUUCCUGUGCAAUUUAAAUGUCUGUCUUCUUUUGGUUCUCAGAUCAUUCAUCAUUUCACAAAGCGGAUCCAGACCAAAAUGAAGGAUCUUCUACAGCAGAUGGAAGAAGGGCGGAAGACAGCUGGUCCCCAUGAUUGCUCUGCUUAUACUGGUUGGACAGGUAACACUCUGGGCUGUAUGCGACUUUUCCUUGGAUGUACCUGAUCUCCAGAAUCUUCUCCAGUUCCAACAUUGCUUUCACCUCGUACAAGUCCUUGAACUUCAUCUUUGGCCUCCGCACCUUGCUGAUGACCGUCAUGCUCCGGCUGCUGGCCACCACCUCCAAAGUCCAGGCGUCCUUCUGCCAUUCAGGGCACAGUCACAUUUUCUAAGGACAUAGAUGUUGGAAAGGAGCAAAUGAGGGUGUUGAAAGGAAGAACCUAUGGAGACAUUCUCAUGUUGUACAACCUUAGUAAAAGUUACAGAAGCUUUUUCAAGAGAACCACCGCUGUGCAAGACAUAAGCUUGGGUGUAAGAAGAGGAGAGUUCUUUGGGCUCCUGGGGUGAACGGAGCUGGGAAGACCACCACGUUCAAAAUGCUUGAAUGGAGACAUCCCUCUGACCUCCAGACACGCCGUCAUCAGGACACCCAUGGGUCCUCUCCUACAUGGACUCUUGAAAAGCCUCUUGCUGUUGGGAAGUCUUCCUCCAGCGUAUGAAGAAGGCCGGGCUCGCUUGUUGAAGAGAUGGGAUCAACCUAGAGCCAGCGCCAAGCAACAGACAUUGUAACAGACAGGCAGCAGCGGUGGCGUCACUGUUGGACACUGUCUGGGAUGACGGAAUGGGUCAUGUGAACUGACCACAACACAAGCCAGUGGAGCCUCUGCACCAUCCAUCAGCCGCAGGGGUUUGUCUCACCGUAGCUCCAGACAUCACUCUGGGACAGACACUGCCUCACUACAGCUAUUCCAGUGCCAUGGGGUAGGUUUCUCUUGUGAAAUGCGGUUCUGUCACAGACAAAGGCUGCCAGCUGCAACGUGAAAGGACUCCAGAUGGAGGUAAACCCAAACGAAGUACCACUGGCAGAGCACUGGAUUUAAACAGCAGAUUGAAAUUGUGAGUAAUGUUACACAGAGAAAACUUUCUGGCCCGGGAAACUCAACUCAUGCACUUUGGAAACUCACCCCUGACUGGGGCCUGGGAAACUCAACUCAUGCACUUUGGAAACUCACCCCUGACUGGGGCCUGGGAAACUCAACUCAUGCACUUUGGAAACUCACCCCUGACCGGGGCCCGGGCAGAGCUGAAUUCGUUCUGCGGCGGGCACUGUCAGAUCUGGGGUUUUGUAUUUAGCUCACGUUGUAGAUGACUGAUUUUGAGGGUCACAGAAAGUUCCAAUCAUGCAGACUUGUGGUCAGGCAGAUGUGAAUGUAAGAUUGCAAAGGCGAGAGGGGAAAAGCUCGUGUACAAGAGAAGACCCAGAACAGGGGGCGCUGCUCUAAGGGAUAAGAGUUGGUACGGAACUUGAAUAAGACAAGGUUGCAGCUUAGAUGUUAGUCAUUAAUCCAACUUUAACUAGUCAGAACAUGGGACAUGGGGGAAAACAGAGGAGUGAGCAUCCGGGCACUGGGGCCUGAGGCGGGUGCUUCCUGGAGGUCCUGCAGGGGAUUGAGGGGGACAGACGGCAGAGCCCCACCUUCAGCCACACAGACGAGGGGCAGAGAGACCACCUGCCUAACAAAAGCCAGGACUGAGAGCUGAAUCCAUGGAACCAUAACUCUAGCUCUGUGUUGGGCAAAAUUUGCCAAGGCUGUGUGUCCCAUCACAUAAAAAGCCACUUUUGUGCAGCUGCGAAUUGACACAGAUACUCAGUUAAGAAAUGCUGAGUCUCUGGGAGCUCUCUGGUGAGCUGGGACUUAGCGGCCAGGCAGGAGAUGACCCCGGCUGUGCAGGGUUCUGGGCUCCCCGCCAGAGGCAGGGCGCAGCCAGGGCACGGCUCCCACAGAGCUCAGCUCCCAGUCUCCAGUAAACAAGUAAAGAAACCAGAUCUUCCCAGGUAGCAAUAUGUGCUUUAAAAAAAUAAAGCAAAUUCAGCAAGGUAGUAGAGGCUGCCUGGGGUGGAGGGUGCUCCCUUGGUGACCCUUCUGCCUUAGAUGAUCAGGGAAGAGACUCAGGAAGAAUUUCUGGGUUCAGAGGAGACCUCCAGGAAUAAUUCUACAUUCAGGGAAAACUACUCAGAGCUAAGCACCUCCUCCCCCACAUCAGCCACUGAACUGGGCUGCAGUGUCCCCCCCAAAUUUUCAUGUCUCUCCAGAACCCCAGAAUGUGACCUCAUUCAGACAUAGGGUUUAGACCUACUUAGUUAAAGAUCUCGAGACGAAAUCCUCCUCGAUGUAGGGGUGACUCAUGUCUUUGAAGAAGGUGAUGUGGAGUCAGGCAUGGGGAAGGAGGCCAUGUGAGGAUGGAGGUGGAGAUGGGAGGGAUGCGGCCGCAGGCCUGGGAGUGCCUGGACCACCGGAACUGGGGGGGGGGAGGAGUCUCCCCUAGAGCCUUCGCAGGGCGAUGGCCCUUCUGACACCUUGACUUCAGACUUCCGACCUCCAGACUAACUCCUGUUGUGGGAACCAGCAGACUUGUGGCUAUUUUUGGUGUAGCACCAGGAAACUAAUAAGACAGUCGCACAGAGAAAUACCAGCAUCUUCAGGACACCACAGAGUCUGGGGCACACAGGCCCCACCAGGACCAGCAUGUAGCAAUGGCGUGUAACUGCUCAGUUCUGUGACCAGGCAUAUGGCGUGAGAGUGACAAGAACCAAGUGAUGGGUGGGGGUCCCCACGUCCUCACACUAAGGCAACCCAACAAAGAGACAAUUGUGCGAAGGUAGCUAAACAACUAGAUUUUCAGUGUUCAGUAGGACAGGCGCUGAUCUAAUGUGAAAGACAAUCAAUUCAAUUGAUCCCAAAUAAAAGUGUACACUGUGUA
Camelus dromedarius (Arabian camel) is the source of this 3159-nucleotide long non-coding RNA. RefSeq lists it as uncharacterized. The record is from RefSeq and is a predicted model, not a curated record. NCBI's taxonomy places the organism in Eukaryota, Metazoa, Chordata, Mammalia, Artiodactyla, Camelidae. The transcript is spliced from 7 exons.